AUGCUCACUUUCCAGCAUAUAUAUUAAAAUGGGAACAAUGUAGAGAAGAUUAGCAUGGCCCCUGCCUGAGGAUGAUGCCCAAAUUCAUGAAGUGUUCAAUAUUUUU
This 106-nucleotide small nuclear RNA is filed under the name Procavia capensis (Cape rock hyrax). The record is from RNAcentral. Lineage: Eukaryota; Metazoa; Chordata; Mammalia; Hyracoidea; Procaviidae.